Molecule: ribosomal RNA, 775 nt
Filed under: uncultured Neocallimastigales
Lineage: Eukaryota; Fungi; Neocallimastigomycota; Neocallimastigomycetes; Neocallimastigales
Description: partial large subunit ribosomal RNA
Rfam family: Eukaryotic large subunit ribosomal RNA
Source: RNAcentral
AGAGAGAGACAUGCGCGCAUAUCAAUAAGCGGAGGAAAAGAAACUAACAAGGAUUCCCCUAGUAACGGCGAGUGAAGCGGGAAGAGCUCAAAUUUGAAAUCUUAAAGGGUUUCCCUUUACGAAUUGUAGUUUAAAGAAGUGUUUUCUGUUGAGGUUUUGGUAAAAGUUCUUUGGAAUAGGACAUCAUAGAGGGUGAGAAUCCCGUAUUUGACCUUUACUUUCAACUUUGUGAUACACCUUUCAAAGAGUCGGAUUGUUUGGGAAUGCAGUCCAAAAUGGGUGGUAAAUUUCAUCUAAAGCUAAAUACUGGCGAGAGACCGAUAGCGAACAAGUACCGUGAGGGAAAGAUGAAAAGAACUUUGAAAAGAGAGUUAAACAGUACGUGAAAUUGUCAAAAGGGAAGCGUUUGACACCAGUGUUGUUUUUCUGAAAAUCAAUUAAAGAACUGUUUAUGCUAAGUUGUUUAGACUUUAUCAGCUAACUGUUUAGUUUUGAGCUUUUCUUUAAUGCACUUUUCAGUUAACAAGUCAACAUCAAUUUCUUUUGCUGUAAAAAAGCUUGAGGAAGGUGGCUUGAGAUUCGUCUUAAGUGUUUACAGCCUCUUGCCUAUGCAGUCGGAGAGAUUGAGGUCUGCAGCGUAGAUCCUUCGGGGCUAAAUGCAUUUGUGCUAAGUUAUAACAUUUUAUAGACAACUUGUUGACUAUGAUUUGUCUUGUAGCUUACUCGCUUAUGUUAUUUUACCUACGCUUAGGAUGUUGAGCGCAUGUCUCUCUCU